RNAcentral lists this transfer RNA (634 nucleotides) under uncultured cyanobacterium. Its description in RNAcentral is "partial miscellaneous RNA". The stretch from base 256 to 328 matches the Rfam family "tRNA". The record is from RNAcentral. Lineage: Bacteria; Bacillati; Cyanobacteriota.
CAGGGAGACAAAAACUGAUUAUGAUGUCUGAUUAAAAAAUUAGGCCUUAAUCCUGUCACCUUAGGUCGAUCGGUACCUCAGACUAAAAAACAAAAAUUGUGAAAGCACUUUUAAAAAAUUUUGGUUUUAGUUCCUAAACUUGUCUAGGUCACACCCAACAAACUUUUCUCCUGGGCUAUUAGCUCAGGCGGUUAGAGCGCACCCCUGAUAAGGGUGAGGUCCCUGGUUCAAGUCCAGGAUGGCCCAUUCGUUGUUGGGGGUAUAGCUCAGUUGGUAGAGCGCCUGCUUUGCAAGCAGGAUGUCAGCGGUUCGAGUCCGCUUACCUCCACUGAAAACUAUCCUGAUAACUAAAUUUCGGAGAAAAUUUGUAGAUGUGUCUUAGUGUUGUCUAUCUGAAAAGAACCUAGCUUCUUAUCAUCUUAUAAAACAGUUGAUAAUAUGCUGGGCUCCCAUGGUUUAUGCCAUGAGAAUUCAGUAGAACCUUGAAAACUGCAUAGAUUAUAAAGAAUAAAGCAUCUCAUGGAUGCAUAAUUCUGCAUUGUUUUUUAGCUUGAAAACUAAUUAAUAACUGUAUGAAUUCAUGUUUAAUUCUUGAGUAAUAGCCGAGCACAAUUGACAUUGUGUUUGUAUUUAA